UACGAGAGGCCCAAACGUUAUUCGGAUUUACUGGGCUUAAAGAGUCCGUAGGCGGCUUGGAAAGUGGGGUGUGAAAGCCCUCGGCCUAACCGAGGAAUUGCGCUCCAAACUACCGAGCUUGAGGAAGCUAGAGGUGAGCAGAACUGAUGGUGGAGCGGUGAAAUGCGUUGAUAUCAUCAGGAAUACCGGAGGCGAAGGCGGCUCACUGGGACUUUUCUGACGCUGAGGGACGAAAGCUAGGGGAGCAAACGGG
RNAcentral lists this ribosomal RNA (253 nucleotides) under uncultured Pasteuria sp. RNAcentral describes it as "partial 16S ribosomal RNA". It matches the Rfam family "Bacterial small subunit ribosomal RNA", at positions 524 to 776 of the family's 1533-position model. The record is from RNAcentral. Lineage: Bacteria; Bacillati; Bacillota; Bacilli; Caryophanales; Pasteuriaceae.